This 465-nucleotide ribosomal RNA is filed under the name uncultured Klebsiella sp. Its description in RNAcentral is "bacterial SSU rRNA". It matches the Rfam family "Bacterial small subunit ribosomal RNA", at positions 338 to 795 of the family's 1533-position model. Lineage: Bacteria; Pseudomonadati; Pseudomonadota; Gammaproteobacteria; Enterobacterales; Enterobacteriaceae. The record is from RNAcentral.
CCUACGGGCGGCAGCAGUGGGGAAUAUUGCACAAUGGGCGCAAGCCUGAUGCAGCCAUGCCGCGUGUGUGAAGAAGGCCUUCGGGUUGUAAAGCACUUUCAGCGGGGAGGAAGGCGUUAAGGUUAAUAACCUUGUCGAUUGACGUUACCCGCAGAAGAAGCACCGGCUAACUCCGUGCCAGCAGCCGCGGUAAUACGGAGGGUGCAAGCGUUAAUCGGAAUUACUGGGCGUAAAGCGCACGCAGGCGGUCUGUCAAGUCGGAUGUGAAAUCCCCGGGCUCAACCUGGGAACUGCAUUCGAAACUGGCAGGCUAGAGUCUUGCAGAGGGGGGUAGAAUUCCAGGUGUAGCGGUGAAAUGCGUAGAGAUCUGGAGGAAUACCGGUGGCGAAGGCGGCCCCCUGGACAAAGACUGACGCUCAGGUGCGAAAGCGUGGGGAGCAAACAGGAUUAGAUACCCUAGUAGUC